RNAcentral lists this transfer RNA (75 nucleotides) under Holosporales bacterium. RNAcentral's name for it is "tRNA-Thr". It matches the Rfam family "tRNA". From Rfam's summary of the family: Transfer RNA (tRNA) molecules are approximately 80 nucleotides in length. Their secondary structure includes four short double-helical elements and three loops (D, anti-codon, and T loops). Further hydrogen bonds mediate the characteristic L-shaped molecular structure. tRNAs have two regions of fundamental functional importance: the anti-codon, which is responsible for specific mRNA codon recognition, and the 3' end, to which the tRNAs corresponding amino acid is attached (by aminoacyl-tRNA synthetases). tRNAs cope with the degeneracy of the genetic code in two manners: having more than one tRNA (with a specific anti-codon) for a particular amino acid; and 'wobble' base-pairing, i.e. permitting non-standard base-pairing at the 3rd anti-codon position. The record is from RNAcentral. Lineage: Bacteria; Pseudomonadati; Pseudomonadota; Alphaproteobacteria; Holosporales.
GCCGCAGUGGCUCAGUGGUAGAGCACAUCCUUGGUAAGGAUGAGGUCGAAGGUCCGAUUCCUUCUUGCGGCACCA